CGGACGGGUGAGUAACGCGUGGGUAACCUGCCCUGUACAGGGGGAUAACAGUUGGAAACGGCUGCUAAAACCGCAUAACAUGGAGAUACCGCAUGAUAUUUCCAUCAAAUAUUUAUAGGUACAGGAUGGGCCCGCGUCUGAUUAGCCAGUUGGCAGGUAAUGGCCUACCAAAGCGACGAUCAGUAGCCGGCUUGAGAGAGUGACCGGCCACAUUGGGACUGAGACACGGCCCAAACUCCUACGGAAGGCAGCAG
RNAcentral lists this ribosomal RNA (254 nucleotides) under uncultured bacterium. RNAcentral's name for it is "partial 16S ribosomal RNA". It matches the Rfam family "Bacterial small subunit ribosomal RNA", at positions 99 to 354 of the family's 1533-position model. The record is from RNAcentral.